UGCAUUAACAGUAAAUAUUUUAGUAGUAAAAGCUUUAAAAGAAUUUUGUUAAUUUUUAUCAUCACAUCAUGUACCAAGCUGUUAAAAUGAAGCUAUGUGUUACACCUUUUUUCAGAGAUAACAAUAAACUCGAGGAAAUAGUAAAAGGAAAUGGUUUUCUAACAUAAACCAAAGUAUAAAAUUUGUAAAUAUUUAACUUCUGGAAUGAAUUGAAUUUGAGAUUUUCUGUAUUUUUCAAUGUUUAAUUUACUUUUAGGGAACAUCCCUGAUUUGAAUAGUACAGCUGGGGCGCCUUGCCUUCGAAAGCAAAAACAAAUAAAUACGAGUUAUGAAACAUCAGUUCCAAACAAUAGUUGGAUAACCUCUAGUGACAUUCCUUUACCUACAUAUGAUUCCUUUAAAACAGUGAUAAACUUUGCACGAUUAAUUUUCUAUUUAUAUUUUUACAGAAGUAAACUUUUGUAGAUUAAAAGAUUGAAUUUGACUCGACAGCCAAUCCAACAAAAGUCUCUAGUAAUCGAUGCACUUGAAUCUGUUGAUAAUAAGACAGCCACAACUAAAAAAAAGGUUUAUUUUGUAGAUGCAUCACAAAUGGGUAAGAAGGAGGACAAAUGGUCACAAAUUUCAUGUCGAUGCAAAUGUAAUGAUACCAAGGGAAAAGAAGAUAAGAAAAAGAAAUCAAAAGCCAAAUCUAAGAAAACAAAAAAAAAGAAGGGAAAGAAAGAAAGCAGUGAGUCUUCAAGUGAAAGUAACGAUGAGGAUCAACUGUCAUGCUGUCCUAAUGUUUUAUUCAAGAAUAAGUAGAAGUCAAAGGACAAGAUAGUGAUAGCCAGUACUGCAGCACAGACAUUAGUGAAUAAAUGGUAAAGAACAAACUAAGAAUAAUGUAACCUUUAAUGAAUUAAACAUGAUGAUUGACCAAUGGAUAUCGGAAACACAAGAAAACCAAAAUGUAUUUCCAUUACAACAUGAAGAACUCAACAAAUUGAUGUUUGGAAUCUGUAAUUGUCAAGAUAAAGUAAAAGUUGCUACUUACUUUCCAAAGAAGCAGUACUUUAAUACUGCUUUGUUUUAGUUGAAAAUUUUGUAUGAGAAAGUAAUGUCGGCAAAAUGUUUUCAAGACAAUAUAGAUCAAAACAUAAAGUAUAUAUUUAAUCGUCAAAAGGAUAUAGAACAAAUGGUUACUAAAUUAGAAUUAGAUGUUAACUCAUCAUGCAAAUGUAAAGUUUCUAAAGAUUUUUAUAGAGAAAAUACGUAAGUUUUCAAAUUGAUACUAUUGGAUAAGUAUAUUAAUGUUUACUUAUUGAUAGAUACAAAGAAGCAGAAAACAUUAAUUCUACAUUUUUAAAUUUUAUACAAGUAUUUGAAGAAUUACAGAAUUGUACCGGACAAAUAAAACAGAAAAACAGUGAUCCUAGCAAUAUUGAACAUAUUGCACAAUUACUGCAAAAUCAAUUACAACAGCUGGAAAAUAUUGAAAUGAAAAUUCACGACAUGAGAAAUCAACUUUAUCAAACUGAAUAUUACAAACAACAUGUAUUAACUUCAUUACAUAUUAAAGAAAACACAUUUUAAGCUGUA
Anoplophora glabripennis (Asian longhorned beetle) is the source of this 1581-nucleotide long non-coding RNA. RefSeq lists it as uncharacterized. The record is from RefSeq and is a predicted model, not a curated record. The transcript is spliced from 4 exons. NCBI's taxonomy places the organism in Eukaryota, Metazoa, Arthropoda, Insecta, Coleoptera, Cerambycidae.